GCGGGGGUCGCCGAGCCAGGUCAAAGGCGCAGGGCUUAGGACCCUGUCUCGUAGGAGUUCGAGGGUUCGAAUCCCUCUCCCCGCACCA
RNAcentral lists this transfer RNA (88 nucleotides) under Candidatus Bathyarchaeota archaeon. RNAcentral's name for it is "tRNA-Leu". It matches the Rfam family "tRNA". Rfam says of the family: Transfer RNA (tRNA) molecules are approximately 80 nucleotides in length. Their secondary structure includes four short double-helical elements and three loops (D, anti-codon, and T loops). RNAcentral also lists the same sequence under 2 other names. The record is from RNAcentral. Lineage: Archaea; Thermoproteati; Candidatus Bathyarchaeota.